Molecule: long non-coding RNA, 5768 nt
Filed under: Olea europaea (common olive)
Lineage: Eukaryota; Viridiplantae; Streptophyta; Magnoliopsida; Lamiales; Oleaceae
Description: long non-coding RNA (OEUR_LNC006883)
Source: RNAcentral
CCGGGUGGUCCAUAUUUGUCGGAGUUUCGGGUUAAGGGUCUUGUUGAGCUGGCGUUCGAUGUAGACAUCGUAGGAGGAGUAUCCUGGUCGGAUCUUGAGGUCCGGGGAGGAGUUUGUCGGGUCUUUUUUCAAGGUAUGACGUGGGGUUUGUAGAUAGAUAAAGGCUAAGAAAGAUAGAGAGAAGAAGAGAGAAAGGAUGAAGGGCUUGACGAUGAGGGGUAGUUUUGGCAAUUCACCUGGUAUCAUGUCUGCAUGAAAAAAUGGCUCUCAGCAUGGAACGAAGAACUGGUUAGAUGUUUAUGUGUUCUUUAGAGAGAGAAUUCACAUACAUACAUGUUUGCAUAUAUAUAUAUAUAUAUAUAUAUAUAUAAGGACUUGUAGUAUCUCUCUAGAUCUGGCAAAAGCGAAAGAACCCCUAACAUAAAUAUAUAUAUAACUUGGGGGCAAAUGAAAGAAGCAUCGUCUUUCUCUAUACUUUUUACAUUUUUUAAGCUAACCAAAAAAUUUGACAAAAUCGUGUUUAGUAAUUUAUAUUUAAAUAUGCUAGAAUUUUUUUUAAAAAUAAGUUAUUCUUACGUGUUUUAUUAGCUUAACAUAUAAACAAAGUACAAUUUAAUAGGGAUUACAAGGGAGUGGAUCCGACGUCCAAAACAGUAAGCUCAUGAAGAAACACAGACUCAAGAAGAAAUUCGAAUUAUAUUUCUUAUCAUCGUACACCUAAUUAGAUAUCUGACAAGAUCAUGAUCGUUGAUGAUUCUAGCGUUUGAUCAAAUUUAAUUCAUCUGAUCAUCUAUUUCUCCAUUGAUCUAUCCUAAGCUCGUAACUCAAAAAUGAAUUUGGUAAAGCCUCGGUGCUCGACUUCUUGGUAGUAGGAGGAGUUGCUUCUUGAUUUUCAGCUUGCUGUCAAUUAGGCCUUUAAUUGGGUCUUUUCCUUCUGUAGGCCGGGAUCCUUAUUUGAGUUAUAUUAUUGAUCAAAUUUUAUUGUAUUUAUUGAAAUCAUAAAUUUUUACUUAUGGUAAAAAAAAUAUUGUAAUAUUACACAAAUAUAUUUAAAUAAAAAGUUACUUGCAAUUUACAAAUAAUUGGUCGUGAUGAUAAGAUAAAUAUAAUAACGUGGGCAAAAGAACCAAAAGAAAGAAAAAAGGAGACGUAUCUUCAAGAAUAUUUUACUUUUACAUAUUCCAAAAAUAUACUGUCAUCCAAAUUAAACAACUAAUCUAAGGUCAAUUAUUGGUGAACGUUAUACUACAAAACCCAGAGUAUAAUUUUUUCACAAGCAAAAGUAAAAUAAAAUGAAAAUUAUAAUAUCUCCAUUUACAAUCCCAAUUUUAAUUAUUUAACAAACUUUAAUGUUGGAAAUCCACCCUGUUUAGCUAAUGAGGUAGGACAACGCGAGAUGGCUCGGGAAAUCUUUUUCAUACAUAAACCAAGGUUUGAACGGAUGAAUGGGAACCCAAGUGCCAAAAAUGAAAGGUGAGAAAAUAUCGUCAAAAGAUUCGAGUGCCCAGCUAAAAUUUUCCAUUUUUGCAAAGUACGUGAUUAUAAGUUGGCAUCUCAAUAAAUGUGUGGAUAAAAAAUGGACAAUAGUUGCAGGUUACUACAAAAUGUGUGAAUAAAAAGUAUAUUUGAUCAGUUCUCAAACAUGCUCUACUUCUAGGAUUGGAUCAUCGUACCACAAAAGGGAAUGACAAAGCAGAAAUUAGGAAAUGAAUGGCUUAGAAGCCUAGUGCUGUGCAAAAUAAGACAUCGAAAGCAACCAUAGAGGCAUAGACCACGCUAUAUGAAGUAAUGAAAAUCGCAACGAAAAACAAGAUUUAAAAGUGAAGAAAUUAACAAAUAGAGUUAAUCGCAGAAACACGACGUUUUAUUAAUCGACAAUAUAGAAAGAAAUACAAUAACUCAGUAAUUCUUACUUGAACAAAAUUGAAAGAGAAUACCACUAUUUAUAUGUACAGUCAAAAGAUGGUUGAAAUUUUGCAACUAGGACACGUGAUAUCAAUAUAAAUUUUACUACGCCCUCGAGGUAUAGUUUGGUAGUGCAAAAGACAGAAGUGAGGUUAUUUCACGCCUUGCUAGCAAUUACAAUGUGUAGAUUCGAUUCCUGAAACAUGGAAUUGAACUUCUUGUAGACGCAGUAUGCAAACAGCUCUUGUUCCUUAGCCUGUUGGGGCACAUCCCGCUAUUUACCUUUCUUACAAAACUUUAGGGACAAGGUGGUGAGACCCUCAAGGUUGGGGUUCAACCUUUUUUAAAAUAAAUUUUAUUGCUUCUUUAAUGACACUAAUCUUUUAAUAUUCUUCUCGGAAUUAAAUUUUUUCAGAUAAUUCAUCUUUUAAUUUUAUUUGAAAGUGUCUAAUUAUUUUCCUGUUUGUUUCUCAUUUUUUUCUCAUUAAAAUGAAAAAUAUAAUCGUUAUUCAUCACAUCAAACCACUAAAUUUGAAUUUCUAUCUCUUGUAUGUGGUCCAUAAUAAUUAUAUUUUUCAUUCUCAUUUUUACAAAAAUAGGAAACAAAAGCCCCCUAAUCAUGACGAAACCUUGCAAAUAUUUUCAAGUUUUGUUGUCUCUCUUUCAAUUAAAAAGAGAUUGAAAUUUCAACUUUUCUUCCUACCUCUUUUUUUUUUUUUUUUUUUAUGCGCACAUUAGAGGAAUAAAGAUAAAGGUCUACGAAACCAUGCAGAGCUACUAAAACUAGGAGUAUCCAAUGCCAUCCUAUUCCCCAUAUUUGAAUAAGCCAUAAAUACAUCACAUUCAUACCCAUUGUAAUAUCGCAUGCGUUUUUUAUUGGAUAAAGAUAGAUUUCAUGGAAUCCAUACCGAGAUGGACUCAGACAUUUUAAAAUUAGAGGGACACAGUUAAAUCUGUAAAAAAAAGUUGUAAAAAAUUAGACUUAGGCUAUGUUUGAGACAUAUUUUUUCAAAAAAAGACACUCUUAAACAGUGAUUUGACAUCAUUUCAAUCACAUUUUUUCAAUAAAAUAAUAUUGCACCCAAAUUUAAAACUUUUCUUUAUUUUUUAACCACACAUUUUUCAUCAAUACACUAUUCAAAAAUGCAUUUUUAGGAAUAUAAUGUCGCUCAAACAAGGGUUUAGGGGGCGUUGUUUCUCAUUUUUAUAAAAAUGAGAAUGAAAAAUAUAGUCAUUAUGGGUUCCAUACAAAAUAUAGAAAUUGAAAUUUGAUGACUUGAUGUGAUGAAUAACGUUCAUAUUUUUCAUUUUAAUGGAGAAAGAAUGGAAAACAAACAGAGCUUUAUAUACACUACUACUUCCAAUAUCCGUUUCUUAGGCUUGAAACUAGAAAAAUAAUUGGUACCUCAUAAGAAAUUAUUUCAAACUGCUACAUAACCUAUGUUGAAAAGAUGAAACUGUAGUGAAUAAAAUUUGGUGGCUCGUAAGAAAUUAAACUAAACGGAGUAGGGUGGAGAACAUGAUUCAUGCUCCGAAUCUUUUUAUUUUAUUUUUACGUUUUACAAUUGAAAUCGUAUUUUAAAAAAUAAUUAAUUAAUAAGACCGUAAAUUGAGAUAUUUUAAUCCCUCGUCUCGUCCCACCUUCCGAAAAUCACUCUAUCAUCUUGUCAUCCCUAAAAUAAAAUGAAAUACAAGAUAAUUCAAAGUAAUAGAUUUAAUUGAAAUUUCUCAAAUAAAAACUCAUAGACACCAUGAGUUGUAGUUAUGUACUCUAUAAUCUUCUGAGCUAAGACACCCAUGGCCCACCCUAGCUUCUUUGGACCAAUUCAUUUAUUAAAGGUUGAAUCCCAACCUUGAGGGCCUUCACCGUCUCGCCUCUAGAGUUUUGUAAGGGAGAUAAAUCGUGAGAUGUACCCCAAUAGGUCAAGGAACAAGAGCUGCCUGUACACUGCACCUACAAAGAGUUCAAUUUCAUAUCUCAGAAAUCGAACCCCCAUACUGCGGCUACCAGUAAGGCGUGAGAUAAUCUCACUCCCGUCCUUUGCAUCACUAGGCUAUACCCGGGGGCUGGACCGAUUCAUUUAUUGAAUUGUAGUUAAGUGUUCUAUAGUUCACAAUGUUAUUAUUUCUGAAAGACCGUGACAAGACUUGAAUUAGGCCUCGACCGAGGGCUUUACUAAACCGGACUAUAAUAUAUUAAUUAUACAUGCAAAUUGUGUAGGGUCCCAAUUGGAAUAUUUAUUCUGGCAGCGGUCCCUUUUUUUAUCCUAUCUAUGAAUGAAUUUAUUCAAUUUCACUUUUAGUUUGGAAGAAGCCGUUGGAGCAUCCUUUCCUCAUGACUUUUUUUUUUUUUUUUUUAAUUAUUCCAGUUUUUAAUUCUUUUUGCUUCAUCAAAAGACUACAUUCAACAACAAUUUUGGAAGACAUCAUUAAUUGAUUCAAAAGCAUGAUCUCUUUGAACAAUUUUUAGUGCAUAUUUUAAGAACAUGUAAUCAUAUAAUCAUCCUGAACAAAAUCUCUCUCUAAUUAUUAAUAUUUUACCAUUUUUUUUCUAAUUUUUAAUGCUAGGGUUUUGAAUUUGAAAUUAAUCGUAUUGUCAUAGAAUAGUUGGUCGAGUUUUCGUCUAUUGUUCGCUAAUGAACAAUUUUGUCAAGUCGGAUGGAGGUGAAAAUCGAGACUUAGUCUGUUACUUCACUUUUGAAAGCUUUCUUUCCAUCUACAAGUAGGAAGGAGGUGAUAUUUUCAAGUCGUCGAUAUGUAAAACAAUCUUUGCCAAUAUUUCACUUGAAUGAUAGAUUUUGCAUCUCUUGUUUCUUCACUCUUUAGUGUUUUUCAAGAUUUAUCGGCCCUACGAUUAAAUUUAAUAUAUCAUUCAUUUGAAUGAGAUCACAUCAUGACUUUAUUUACCCAACAAAAGACGAUAAAAACAACUAAAUCAUGAAAUCAACCAUCACUUCAUUAUAACAUAUCACAUGCAAUCAAUGAAAAUAUGAAAAAAGAGAACUCGAAAGUAACAUUAAAUCAUUCCAUCGUCAAUUUUAUAAUUGAAACAAAAUUCUCGUCCUUUUUCCUUCUGUAAUAAAUUAAUCUCGAAAAAAUAUAAAUAGAAAAAUCUUAAGACUGAAAACUUACAUGGAAUUAUAAGUUGUGUUUCCGAAAAACAAUUUCAGUGUCCAAUCCAAAUCCAUCGACACUCCUAACCUUAACAACUUCUGAUAGUUUGAACAAUUUUAUCAAUGGUUUCACACUGUACAAGUCAUUGGCCGAAUAUUUAUCUGCCCUUCGAGAUAACGCUACGUGUAAAACACAAAUCCCGCCGGGCUUCAACGUCCGUUCGAUCUCUCCGACAAAUUUCUCAGGAUAAAGUGCAUGAUCAAAAACGUUGGAGAAUUCGAAAUCAAAAGUCUCGUCAUCAAACGGCUGAUGAUGAAAGUCACCCUUCAACACCAAUGGAGGGUAAGGCACUAGAUCUAUACCCACAGAGUCAUUUACACCGACCCGUUUUAAUGCAGCCACCUCUUGCCCGACCCGGGCUCCAACACAAAGCGCUUUUGACCCGUUAAACAGUAGUUUUCUCUGCUUUAAACUGUCGAAAAACCCGGAGAAAACUUCAACUUUCCGGUCCCAAUCCCGGGUAGUCCAUAUUUGUCGGAGUUUCGGGUUAAGGGUCUUGUUGAGCUGGCGUUCGAUGUAGACAUCGUAGGAGGAGUAUCCUGGUCGGAUCUUGAGGUCCGGGGAGGAGUUUGUCGGGUCUUUUUUCAAGGUAUGACGUGGGGUUUGUAGAUAGAUAAAGGCUAAGAAAGAUAGAGAGAAGAAGAGAGAAAGGAUGAAGGGCUUGACGAUGAGGGGUAGUUUUGGCAAUU